UGAGUAGAGAGGGAGAGGGAAAGUAAGGCGUUUUUGUGGGUAAAAUGCAGGAGAUGAGUGAACCCUACUCACCCCCACCCUCUCUCCCUCUCUAUAAAGCUGGUACACAGAUUAUAUAUGGUAGAGUGGUCCAUCACACUCGCUCUUUGUAUGGGCAUGCUAUACCCCUCUCUCUCUCUCUCUCUCUCUCUCUCUCUCUCUCUCUCUUAAAAAAAAAAAAGUAAAGAAAAAAAAAAAAAAAACUUACUACUACUACUAGUAGUAUAUCUUCUAAUUUGCUGGAAAAGGCACACCAAAGAGAAAGAAAUUAAACCAAGGAAGGGAGGAAGGAAGGAAGGAAGUGAGAUCUGAUGAGAGAAAAAGAGAAUGUUUUUGCAAGUCCUGGUCAUGCUUUUCCACAGCUUUCUUGAACUUUCUUUCUUUCUGUUUAGUCUCUUUUUUAAGAUUGAACACCAUUGAAAGCUCAAGAAAGCUGUGGGAGAAUAUGGCAAAUUUGGGAUUUUAAUUUUUUUAUUUUUGUUUUUAUUUUUUAUUUUUCCUUCAACUACUCUUCAGCUGAUGAUGAUGUUGCACACAGAAAGAAAGAAAGAAAGAAAGAAAGAGAGAUCUCAGAAGCUAAAUUCCCCCAAUCCAAAAUGGAGAAUCACGGCUGUGUGAUAUUGCUGAAUACAAUGUGGGUAUUUUGGCUUUGUAUGUGGGUAAGAAUACUGGUCGUCUCUGAAGAAUAUAUCAGAAAGGUAAAGCUUAUGAAAUAGAGAAGAUAUGGAAAUUGAGGAAUUUCAUGAUAUAAAUAUCACAUUUUUGUUUAAGAUAUAUAUUUUUUUCUUCUUUGUUUAAAUCUACUGGUACACGUUUGAACCAUGCAUGAAGAGGGACCGCACAAUAGUAAUUUUGAAAGGCAUAUUUUUCUUCUUGUCUGUACAUUUAGGUGAAAUUCUGUUUAUCUUAUUUUAUUUUUGAAUUUAAUUUUAUUCUUCAUAAAUAUAUUAUAUAUUCUGAUUUCAUUCAAUCAAUAUGGUGAAAAAAACUAAAGAGUUACUCUGCAGAGAAGAUUCCCUGCCUUUCCUUUUUAUCAUCAAUCAUGACGGUUCUUCCUGUUAGGGCCUUUCGAUUUUGCUUCCACAUCUUCUCCUACAUUUCUGUGAAAAAGGUUAAACUUUGUCACUAUCUGACAUCAUUUUUUUUUAACCACUCCCCCCCAAUUCUUGCAUCAGUUUUCCUUAUUUAUUUAUUUAUUUAUUUUUACUAUAUUUAUGUUUGUCUUUAUUAAUCCCUCCUUAACCCCACUCCCAUACCCCUCUCUCUAUCUUUUAAUUUAGAAAUGAAAAUUAUAUAAGAUUUGAAUAGUUUAUUACGCGACACAAAAUUGUAUAUAUUUAUAAAUUUAUAUAUGCUUAGGUGUGAUCUAAGAUCUUUAUGAUAUAUAAAAAAAAAAAAUUAAAAUAAUGAAGAAUCUGAACAUUUCCUAAUUGAAUUUUGCAUGAGUACUAGUAGUGCUAUAAAUGUUUUAUCCAAAUCCCAUUUCUAGAUCUUUUCAUUGAUGCUAUGAGAGACAAAAAAAUCUUGUUUAAUCAACUAUUUCAGCUUGGAAUGGUUGUUGAGUCAGCAACAAAUUUUUAUAAAAUUUUCAAGUAUUUUGAAAAAAACGAAGUUGGUACUCUAUUAACCAUAAUUAAUUAAUCAUUUUCAUGAUCCCCAAAGAAAAUCCAUAUGACCAGAUUCAUAAUAUACAAUAUUUACAAAUUUUAAUUUUCUUUUUUGAUUCCUUUUAAAUAUAUGAUUAAUUCUUUUAUAGUUUCCUCAAAUGAUUUUUUUUUCUAAUUAAUUUUCUAUUUAAUUCAUUGGAUAUGUAUAUAUGAUAUGUACCUUUUAUAUAUGUUGCCCAAGUUGCAUAUAUACUGUUUUGUUGGUGCCCCUUGAAUUAUUACUCUUACAGGUGAAAGGUGACAAUUCUGCUACUAUGAUAAUAUAUGGCAAACAAUGAGAUCAGAUUGGAUGCAAGUCUGAGGGCAUAUAUAUUGGGCAAAGUCCACAACAUCCAAAAUAACUUUAAAGUUUAGCUGCCUGUUCACAAGCACUCCAUGUUUUUCCAACAACAUUGGUUGCUUUUUGUUUUAUUUUAUUUUUUAUUUUUUGAAUGCUAGCUAAUCCACCUUUUUCUUCUUAUAAAGCUGCUUUUAUCUUGUAGGGCAUAGAAUAAUUAAUAUGGCUAAUUAGUAGCUGAUAGAAACUAGACAAUAUAAUCACCGAAACUAUAGCAAUGUUCAUUUAGACUUUUUAAAGGAAAAUAAAGAAAAAAGUGAAAAUCAUUUUAAGUAAGGAUUUUUCACAGAGGGAAUACAAGAGGAGUUUAAUGAAGAAGAGUAGGGCCUCCAUAAUCAGUUUAAAAUAUACCAGACAAAGGGAUAUGGCUGCUCUGUGCUGCAUCUAAUAGAAAUAAUCUUAUUUUACCAAAGCGUAUACAUAGGCCAAUACUAGGCCCCUACUUUACUUUACCUAGUUAUCAGGGAUUGGGGGUUGGGCGGGACUUGUUAAGUUCUUAUACUGAUGCCUAUAUAUAACCCAUUAAUAUCCUAUGAAGUCAGUGACACAGAAUGUAUAGGGCAUGAGGUGCUUCUGAAGCUCCUUUUUUUCAAAAAAAAAUAAAAAAUAAUAAUAAUAAUAAUAAUAAUAAUAAUAAAACAAAAUAUGCACACAAAAAACAAAAAAAAAAAAAAAAGGUUCAAGUUUUUUGAUGAAUAAAUAAAUUUUAUUUUAAUUAUUUUGGAGAUUGGGGGUGUAUUCCUAUCUUUUGAGACUAAAAGUUAGGGCUUGCUCUUGAUUCCAAAAACAAGAAACUUAUUUCUGAACUUGCUGACUCAAACAAUGGUUAAUUUGUCAUAUUGUUACAGUAAGAUAGCUUGCAGCAACCUCUGAGCUGCCAAGCAGUGCAAAUUGCCAUUGUUUUCUCAGUUUAGGUUAUCUUGUCCACUUCUUCUUGUAGAGAUCAGACCUCAAUUUUCAAUAUCUCCUUUAGGCCAAAAUUCAACUUUAUUAUGAUAUCUAAGUUCAAUAUUUCUGAAAUUUAAAAAAACAAUAAUAGUAAUAAAAAAGAAGAAGAAGAAAAGAGAAAAUAACAUGUAUGCAAGUUUUUCAUCUGUCUAUGCUGUUUAAUAUCUAUUAUACAAACAGCUUUAUUCAUAUUGUGAAGGGAAGAAAAAAAUAGAAAACAAAAGCGAAUUUAUAUUUACCCACACUAUUGUGUACUCUUUAAUUCUCUUGUAGGAUUGAUCAUAUGCAAUCAAUAUCCUUCUAAUUUUCAAUUUUGUUAUAUUAAUUGUUGGGCUUAAAUUCCACGUCUGCUUGGUAUUAUUGAACAUAAGUUCUUCUAAGAUAAGGUUAUGGCUUUGGAGCAUAAACAAUCUUAAGCGGCCACAUAUAUUUACAUAGAAAAUUACAGAAGUACUAAUCACGAAAUGAAAGUUAUGUGUGUGUGUGUGUGUGUGUGUGAGAGAGAGAGAGAGAGAGAGAGAGAGAGAGAGAGAGAGAUCGAAUAUAACAUGGCAUUCUUGAGGUGCAAAUGUGUAUAUAUAUCAUUCUUUAGCACCGAUGUUUUACACAAAGGGGGGAAAAAAAAAAGAGAGAAACAAGAAUAAACAAGACUAUAUCAAUGAAGUUACAUAGGAUAAAUCAUUAUAAACUAGAUAUUCCAUAGGGAGGUUGAAAUAUUCUUCGUCACCUCGAUUCAUAAUAAGGAAGCUGUCUUCCAAAAUAUCGCCAUAGUUAAAUUACUUUCAAAACUCCGAAUUCUAAGGAUUCAAGGUAGCAAAUUGAGCUUUCUUCCAAAUCUUAACAUCCAACUAAUGCUUACAUACGAAUAUAUAUAUAUAUAUAUAUAUGGAUUAUUCAAGAUAAUCCUUUUCAGUUAUUUUGAACCAUCUAUAUAUACUCAGCACUUUCAAAUGGAAAAAUAACAUAUAAUGUAAUUGUAAUUCUCUGAAGCCUUUGUAAGCACAUCUAUUUCAUCAUUGAUUUGCUUCUUUUCUUAACCUUCACAAUAUGCACACACACACACACACACACACACACACACACAAAACACAUAUGAUCAUCAUCAUAUAUAUAUAUAUAUAUAUAUAUACACACAUAUACACAGAAAGAAGGAUGCAACUUCUUUUUCUUCCGGCCGGCAUGAAUAUGUAUUACUUUGAAGAAUUCAGACAUCUUAACAGCCACUUAAAAUUUAUAAGUUUACAUAUUUAAAUGCCUAAUAUUUGAGAAUAAAAAAAAAUAACAAUAUUAAUCCUAAUUAACCAUAAUAUUUCUUAACAUAUUAGAAUAUCCUCAAUAUAGGUUGUUCUUUAUGUAACUUCUGUCUCCAACAUUUACCCAAAAAAAAAAAAAAACCUAUGUCUCCAACAUCCUCCACCAUGCACAUGUAAAACUAAUCCUUAUUCCUCCCGACAGGUUCCAACCCUCUUCCACCAAUUCUUUACAGUUUUGUAUUUUCACGCCAGCGCAUAUAUUUCAAUACCCUAAUCAUCAAAACAUUGGAGUAUAAAAAAAAUAAUUAAAAAGAAAAAAAAAGAGAGACAGAGAGACAGAGAGAGAGGGAGAGAACAUAGUUCAUGGUUUGAAGCCAGCUAGGCUGCUAAAUGAGUUCCAAAUAAAAACUGUACCCACAUUGGUGCCAAUUUCUGGAAAAAGAAUUAGUACUUUCUGUGAGAUUGAAAAAUGUAAAAAUAAAAACAAAUAAAAAAAACUUAAAAAUUAAACUUGUACAUUGCAAACCAUGGCCAACUGAAAAAGAAAUGGCAUUGAGAAGCAAUAAUUCUGCCCCCAUGUGUUGUAGGAAACAAUACAACAGUCACGUCACUAUUGGCAUGUAUAUAUAUAUAUAUAUAUACAGAAAUAUAUAUAGCUCUAGCUAGCUCAACCAUUCAAGCAAAGUAGCAUCUUCUAAAACUGAAACAUCUUCACCUUUUCAUUUUGCUGUAUGUUAAAAUUGAGGUACAAUUAUGAAUAGUAAUUCCAUAUAGAUAUAUCCUGACAGGAAAUUAUUAGGAUUUGUUUUUAACAAAAAAUAAUUGAGCAUUCUAUUCAUGAAAAUCAGUGAUGGUUUCUACUAAUAUUUGGGUUUAUAUUGCAAUUUCUAUUUUAGUAAAAGCACUAAUAUGGCUUAAAAAAACCCAUGUAUCCAUUUGAUUGUAUGAAAGUAUAUGAAUCACUUUGAUGUGAAAAAAUAAAUGAAAUAUCCAACAAAGAAACAAUUGUGAUAUUGAUGUUGCUUUGAUGUGCAUAUAUAUAUAUAUAUAUAUAUAUAUAUUCCAUUAGCAACAACAAUCAUGCCUAUAUGCAUAAAGGAAGGCAAAUAUUAACCCCCCAUUUGCCUAUUUAUGAUGUGGGUUAUUUUUUUCUAUGUGCUUGUGUUUUGCAUGCGCACAAAUUGUGAUUGAAACUAAAGAGGAUAGGGAAAAUGCAAAGCUGCAUCUGUUACUUAUCAGAAAAUAUUCUUCUUCCAGAAUAUCGAAUCAUUUUGGAAUAUAUGCAAAUUACCACACACCAACUAAUAUUGUCUCCUCACCAAGCCAAAGAAAUUAGAAGAACAAGCUGGCUGCUCAUCAUGUUUCCUAGAAACAGAUCUUAAGCCCUGAUUCGGACGUUCUGAAGAAAUUUUUAGAUGGAAAAUUAACCUUUUUAAACCCAUAUUUUUCAUCGAGAAAUUAAGAUAAAAACCCAGCAAAAAAUUAAAUCAGACAAACAAUCAACACCUUUUCUGACUUUUGAUAAGCAGUAAAGCAUUAAAAAUGAGCUGAUAAACGCUUAUGUUAUUAUUCUUUUGAUGGAAAUGAGAUGACUGACUUUAACUGAAAUAUUUUAUCCCACUAGUGUUUUCCUUUAAGUAUACAGUAUCUAUGAAAAUCUUGAGCAAAUGCUGAAACCUUUACACUAAAAAAAAAUUAAACUUUCUUAAUGGCAAUAAUUCAAGAGUAUAUAUACGUAUAUUUAUAUAAUAUAGUUCCACAAUAAAUAUACGAUUACAUAAAGCAACAAACUAAAAAAGUUAGUAUUCCCCAAUUAAAUCUAUAUUAAAAAGAACUUGUUAAAGAUGUCCAACAAAAAAAUAGGUUGGCAUUAAAGUUGGUGUCUGAUUUGUGGGCUACAUUAAAACAUGUAUUAUGUAUAAAAAAGAAAAGUAGGUCUAUUCAUAUGAUGUGUGUGAUGUGCGUAAGUAUCAUUAUUAUUAGAACUAAAAGGGUUGGCCUUAUUAAUUGGAUGGAUUAGAGUCCCCGUGAGAGUUCCACCUGUAAAUCCAUCUAAAUUCACAGCAGAUUCCAGCUUUUGCUGCGCAUUUGAAUAUUCUUUGGUAUUGGUGGCCCAGCAGUGACCCGUUUUGAGUUCUUGACGGAUCCACUUUGUACAAAGAGAGAAAAGCUAACUGUAACUACUAUUCAAAGAGGAAAGACGUACACAUACACAUACAUAUUACAUAUAUGUACAUACAUCCUCAAAUCCAAUUACAUGUAAUUUGUGGAUUAUAGCAGCAUAUAUUAGGCACCUAGUAGAUCUAGCAAAAUAAUUUAGUGAUCUAAUAUAAUUUAGAAAACCAUCUUAAUUAGUUGAUCUAGCAAAACAGGUUUGUGAUUUAGAUGAUGAACUUAUCCCUGUAACUUAAAUAGUUGUACUACACUUGGUUGGAAAAUUAAAAACCCUAAUUUUGAUUCUUCAAAUUAUAUUUUGAUUAAGUUUAUAUACUCCAAAUUUUUUAAAUGGUUGAUCAUAUAGUUGACAAAUCAAGUAGACAGCAUAUCUUGGAUUUUCUUUUGUUUUCUUUUCCGCUAGAUCUGUCAGUUUGUUAGACAGAGAAAACAAAAUUUUAAGAGGCUAUAAAAGGGGCUUCCUUCUAAUCUAUACAAGAACAUGUUUAAGAUUAGGUUAAAAUUAUUCGAGGAACUUCCAAUUUUGAUCUUUUUUUUUUUUUUCAAGUAAUUAAAUAAUAUACACAUUUUGAUCUCGAAUUAUUAUUGCUUCAGAGCUAUACCUAUAAGCUAGUUAUAAAAUACAAUGAAGAGCUUGUGGUCCAAUACCGAUUAGACAUGCAGUUAGUAACAGAAAGUAACAGCAAGUUUUAUCAUAAAAUUAAUCCUGAUGAGUUGUGCUAAUACAUAGAUGCAUACACAGAUAGAAAUAUACAUUGAAACACCACAUAUUAAAAUAACAACAGCUAAGCAGAUGAAAAAUACAGAUCGUGCAUGUAUAUAAUAUAGUUACUGAUGGUGCAAAGAUUUAGUCACUUAAAUGGAAUCUAAAAGUAUGGAAUGUAUAUUAAAUGAAUUUAUUAUUAACUGGCAAGGUUUAAGUACAGAUAGAUCAAUAGUACCUAGCACCUUUGUUUAGAAAUCACAAAUAAUUAAUUAGCUUUUGAUCCACACAACCAAAUAAAUAUUGAUUUUGGCCUGCAUGGAACCUAGACAUGUGGACACUGUAAGACCUUCUAAAACAGUUCAAAAGAUAACCAGCAAGAGACAGAUAAUCUAAACCAUUUUUAAUGCACACCCAUCCAUAAGUACAAACUUACAUACACAUAUUGAUAUUAUAUACAUAUAUAUAACUUUUUUAUUCAAUGAAUCUCUAAAUUUGUAAAGUACAUGUGGCAGAAAAACUACUUAUAAAAGAUGUUGACAAAAGGAUCACAAGAAAGGGCCUAAUUAACUACUACUAUUACUUCUAUCAUUGUUAAAAAUGUAAUACUUUCCAGAGAGAAAAACAAUGUACUCCAAGAAAAUUGCUCUUUUGAGUAAAAUUUAGGAAAAAAAAAUGAUUAAAAAAAAAAAACGGCUAA
Long non-coding RNA from Ziziphus jujuba (common jujube), 7822 nucleotides. RefSeq lists it as uncharacterized. The record is from RefSeq and is a predicted model, not a curated record. NCBI's taxonomy places the organism in Eukaryota, Viridiplantae, Streptophyta, Magnoliopsida, Rosales, Rhamnaceae. The transcript is spliced from 2 exons.